This 498-nucleotide ribosomal RNA is filed under the name uncultured bacterium. RNAcentral's name for it is "partial 16S ribosomal RNA". It matches the Rfam family "Bacterial small subunit ribosomal RNA", at positions 30 to 523 of the family's 1533-position model. The record is from RNAcentral.
AUUGAACGCUGGCGGCAUGCCUUACACAUGCAAGUCGAACGGUAACAGGUCUUCGGAUGCUGACGAGUGGCGAACGGGUGAGUAAUACAUCGGAACGUGCCUAGUAGUGGGGGAUAACUACUCGAAAGAGUGGCUAAUACCGCAUGAGAUCUACGGAUGAAAGCAGGGGAUCGCAAGACCUUGUGCUACUAGAGCGGCCGAUGGCAGAUUAGGUAGUUGGUGGGAUAAAAGCUUACCAAGCCGACGAUCUGUAGCUGGUCUGAGAGGACGAUCAGCCACACUGGGACUGAGAGAGGGCCCAGACUCCGACGGGAGGCAGCAGUGGGGAAUUUUGGACAAUGGGCGAAAGCCUGAUCCAGCAAUGCCGCGUGCAGGAUGAAGGCCUUCGGGUUGUAAACUGCUUUUGUACGGAACGAAAAGCCCCGGGUUAAUACCCUGGGGUCAUGACGGUACCGUAAGAAUAAGCACCGGCUAACUACGUGCCAGCAGCCGCCGUAA